UGUCCAACCCCAACCGUCCGAACUCUUCUCCAUCUCUCCUCUGCAAACGUCGACACCGUCAACAGGAGAGAGCUUCAAGCUCUGUACAAGAAGAACAAAAUCCCCGCUAAUCGAACCAACAUUGCCAUGGCUGAUGCUCUCUAAGCUCUUUUUCCACUGGUUGAAGGGUUAGAGUAGUUUUUGAGUCAACCCAGAUCUGAUGAUGCUCAGGUUGAUGAAGAUUCGGUUCUUUUGUCACCAGAUCCCAAAACUUCUUGCCGAACUUCUACAAGAACCCGAAAACCAGUAUUGCCAUUACCUGAAACCUUGCAGCCAAGGACUCGAACUCGUCGGGGAACCGUUGCUACUCCUACAACUAGGAGUAUUGUGGUUCGAUUUUCGGAUUGGGGUUCAGUUUUGCUCGUGAAGGUGAUAAUGGUGGUUAUUUUAUUUAUGGAAAAAAAAGGAAGAAGAAGAAGAAGAAAAUAUUAAUUAUUUUUUAAAUUAUUUUUUAAUUAUUUUUUUUCCUUUUUAUUUAAUUAUUUUAAACUAUUUUUUUAAUAUAUAAAUUAUUUAAAAAAAUCUAAUUUUUUAUUUUUUUUAAAUAUUUAUAAUUAUUUUUUUAAAACUAAUAUUAUGUGGACCACUAAAAAUUUGCCACGUGUACAAGGGUGUACAUGUGGACAGUCCACCGUGGCACUUAACAGUGAUUUUUGGACGGAAGUGUACAGAGCAAAACGAAACUAGGAUUUAGAUAGUUAUGCCGUCAAAAUUUCAAUUUUGGUGGUUAAGUGUUACAAACCGUAAAAUUCAGGUAGUUUAGCCGCCAAUAUCGUUUUUGUAAAACAAAAGUUUCUUUUUUUAGUAAAAAGUUGGUGGGUGAUUUUUGAAAUCACGUGAGUUAUGCAUUUUAAUUCCAAGAAUCCUUACUCAAACUUCUGAAUAAUUGAAAAUGAAUCAAAAUCGAAAAUAAAAUAUGGCCAUUAAAAUGAAAAAAAGAAAUUUAAAAAAUUAAAUAAAAGAAAAGAAAACACUUUAUCCGCAACUCUUCAUCAACCCUUAUACAAUUCAGAUGAGAUGAUCAGGGAAGUUCAUGUUAGUAUAAUUAAUUUUGUAUCACCAAUAGAAAAUUAUACCAUAAAAGAGUGAGGCCUCUCACAAUUUAAAGAAGGCCAAAAAAAAAAAGUUGAUUUAAGUAUUUGUUUGCUGACUCUCUAGGUCUACUCAU
Cannabis sativa is the source of this 1207-nucleotide long non-coding RNA. RefSeq lists it as uncharacterized. The record is from RefSeq and is a predicted model, not a curated record. NCBI's taxonomy places the organism in Eukaryota, Viridiplantae, Streptophyta, Magnoliopsida, Rosales, Cannabaceae. The transcript is spliced from 2 exons.